AGUAGCUCAGUCGGUUAGAGCAUCUGACUGUUAAUCAGAGGGUCGUUGGUUCAAGUCCAAC
This 61-nucleotide transfer RNA is filed under the name chicken gut metagenome. It matches the Rfam family "tRNA", at positions 8 to 63 of the family's 71-position model. Rfam says of the family: Transfer RNA (tRNA) molecules are approximately 80 nucleotides in length. Their secondary structure includes four short double-helical elements and three loops (D, anti-codon, and T loops). The record is from RNAcentral.